ACUGACUAUCAAAUGUAUAAUUGACAAAAAAAAGAUAAUUUAUCAAGGAGAAAAAAAGAUCAAAAGUAUGGAAGGAUAAGAUUUAAGUAAGUGUUUUUAGACUAUACUAACUGUGGUCUUAUCAACUUAGGUCAUUUGGUCUAAUGAUUGUUGUAAGAGAGAAAAUUAUUGUCUAAACCAGUAGUUCUUAGCCUACUAGAAUUCCCCAGGGAAUUUUUUAAAACCCCAGAUGGGUAGGUAUCACCUGGUCUUCAGACUAAUUAAAUUAGAAUCUCUGGGAUGGAACUAGGCAUCAACUUUUGUUUGCUUGUUUGUUUUUUAAGUACUCCUGGGUAUUACAAUGUACCAAAGGAUGAGGUAUCAAUGUGUGAAGCACUGUAGUUUCUACUAUAGCUCAUUUCUUUCUUGUGCUGCAAGAAAGAAAGAAGUAUCCCUAAAUUUAUACAUGCAGAAAGAUGACUUUAAAAGAGCAAAAAGUUUGCCUAAGGUCAUACAGCUCAUAGGCGGUAGAGCAGAGGUUCAGAGCCAGGACUCUCUAUUGGGUGACAUUCUCACUAAGAUGCACUGAAGCAUCUAGGCAGGAUCUCUUAGGGACUGGCUGAGUGGGGAUAGAGGUGCACCUAUGAACUCAAGAAAGCUCUUAUAAUAAACAUUGCCUCACACCCAUCUGCCACAAGGAUUCCCACUAUUCAGAAAUUUCUUUGAGUUACACCAAGGUUACCACACCCCCUAAAUAAUAAUCAGUGUUAUUGCUAUUACAGUUACUGAUGAUUGUGAACCUGUUACAUGUAAAACUCUCUUAGUUGUUUCACAUGCAUGACUUUGACUCUGCCUUACAUUCUGCAAGUCAGAUAUCAAAACACCCAUCCAACAGGGUGUUUCAACCUUGAUGAAAAAGAGGUUUUUAAAGGUAAGGUAACUUUCCCAAGGUCAUAUAAUUAGUAAAUGGCAGUGACACGAUAUAAAUCUGCUGUAUGCCUUUUUAAAAAUUUUUAUAUUAUGUUGUCCAAAGAAGUUAAAUAUGUUAACAUAACUACUAUCAACUACGAAUUUAGCUAAGAGUUUCAUCAUUGACUAAAGUCAUAAAAUAUGAGAGAGGUGAAUUAAAGGCAAGUGUGUGUGGGGGAUGUGCCGGUUUCAAAUUAUAUCCACCAAUUCUUCAAUAUUUCUCCCUUCAACAGAUAAAGUUUAACUUUCUUUUUUGGGGGUGUGAGUUGGACUUGGUGACUUGCUUCCAAUGACUAGAAUAUAGAAGAAAUAACAGUGCUAUGACUCCCAAGACUCAGUGAUAAAAGGCAUUGCUCACUCUGGGAAGAGCCAGUGGCGCUAUCAAAAGGCCUUCUGCCAACAGCCAUGUGAAUGAACCAUCUUGGAAGCAGAUCAUUUAGCCCCAUUCAAACCUUCAUGUGACUACAGGCUGCGUCAAAAGCUUGACUGAAACCUUAUGAGAGAUUCAGAGCUAGAAACACCCUGAUAAGCCACUCCCAAAUUUCCAACCCACAGAAACUAUGAAAUAAUUUUUUGAAAAAAUAUGCAUUAUCUUAAGCCACUAGGUUUUGGAAUUAUCUGUUAUAUAGCAAAAGAUAACAAAUGGGGGGAAAAAUGGAGGGAGGCAGAUAAUACAUGUCUAGAUUAUGAGGCUCAAUGAUGCACAAGAAUGAACAAUCCCAAGCACCCAGAGAUCUCAGGGGAGCACUGGGUCACUGAAUGAGGACAUGGGAAAGGGUGGGUGUCAAGAAAGGGUGAGAAGGGUCAUCAAUUAUUUAUAGUAACUCCUUUUUGAAGGAAAAAAGAAAUACCGGUUUAAGGGUGAAUUCCUUUUCCUGGGUUAUUACAGAGUUUGACAGCACUCGUAUGACAUACUAAAAGGCACCCAGCACCUGAAGCAAUAACGCAUCAUCCAGUCAAGCAAUUUACUUACUAGCAAGAUAUGACUACUGAAUCACAGAGGAUCAAAAAUGUCCCUCAGUAUGUGGAAACAUAAGGCAGGAAAGUCAAAAUCACUUGCAGCAAAGUUUGUGUUUCUGAAAUCAGUGUGGAUUCAGAAAUAGUCCUCUUUGGAUUAUGAUACUUAAAGGUUGAAACAGCAGGACUUCUAAAGUCCUUUUUCUAUUGUAUAUAGUUCACUAAGUUCACAAGAAUAUGAUGUAAUUAAUGUGGACUGCUUUGACCUGAGUGAAAAGUGACAUGUAACAGCCCUUUUCCUAUUUACCUUCAGUCCUAUACCCAUUUACCUUAAAGCAAAAUGGUAUUUAUAUCUUAACAAAUAACUGUAUCUACUACAAAGAGAUACAGAUAUUUGAGGUUCAGCAUUUCAAUUUUCCUUGUUCAGGUUUUCAGUUGGGGAAUGUCCAGAUUCUAGACUCUGAGUUCCAUAUACUGUGUCCUAACGAGUCUGUUAGGGAAACACUGGGGAGAUAACAGGAUAUACUGAUUUUGUUCUUGCCAGUAAAUCACCUCCCCAGGUAACUGUCCUUAUAAUAAAAAUGCCAGCUGGGUGGCAAGUCUCUAUGCCAAGAAAAGGUUGUAUUUUAGCCCUCUUGUGCAUUCAGUACAGAUUUUAAAAUCACAAGGAAGAGGAAAAAAUAGAAUAAACUCCUGCUGAAUAAAGGAUAAUACAAUGGGGAAAAGAAAAUAAUUUGGAACUAUUCUUUGUAAUGCACCUCUGGCAUUGCAAUUGAUGCUGUAAAGAGCAGAUGCAUCAUGUUUUCUUAAGAAAAUGAAUUGAUCACAUCAGUGACUGACGAUCCAAUCUCUGUUUGCCAUUGGUUAAUAGAACUUUCUUCACGUGGUGAUCAUUUAUAACAACACUCUUUCAAAAAUAUAUAUAAAUGUCUGUGGAAGGAUUUCAUAAAGUUUAAAAACAAAGAGAAACAUCCCUUUUUAUACGCUUCAUACAGCCUCCAUUCUCAUAACCGCUAAAUCUUUUUACCAUGAAUGAAAGAAGGAAAGGAAAGAACAGAAAUGGGCUGAAAAAUAGGAUUGUAGAGGAGAAGGGAAUAUAAAUAAGGUGUUCUUGUUAAAAAAAAAAAAACCCAAAAAACAAAAAACAAAGAGUUCAAAGUUGCUGCCAUGGUGGCGCAGUAGGUUAGGGAUUGAGAGUUGUCUCUGAGGUGGCGUGGGUUCCAUCCCUGUCCUGGAGCAGUGGCUUAAGGAUUUGGCAUUGCUGUAGUGGUGGUGUAGGUCACAGCUGUGGCUCAGAUUCAAUCCAUAGGAGUUUCUGUAUGCCACAGGUCUGGCCAAAAAAAGAAAAAGAAAAAGGAAAGAGUUUUGGAGAAUGUUCUGGAAUAGCUUUUUCAUUUUCUUGUGGCUGGGGUCCUUGGCCUUCAUCUAUAGGUCAAUAAUAUCACUGUGAUUAACCCAUGUAUGGCCUCAGAAAGAAGGGACUGAAGAAGAUCAGGUUCAAUGAUCUGUGUCUGAGCAGCAAGUCAACCUAAAGUUAUUUGGUUUUGUAGUCAAGUAUCCUCACCCUGUUCCCAAGAUCAGUCUCCACUUGGAUCACAUUCAUGAUACUUGAAUUCUUUCUGUGUUUAGAACCUCAAAAGCAAAGUAUUGCCUCACUUCACCUAUGUCCCCACUUCCAAGUGAGUAGAGAUGUCUGUUCCUCACCAUUGCCUGUUCAUUGAAUCCCCAUCAACACACUGGCUUUUCCUCUCAGGACCAGGCAAAAUUCACUUUUAUUCUGUGAAUAUUCUCAGCUAAUCAACAGACUUAACAAGCACAGCUGUUAGUAGCUAGCUUUUCCAGAAAGGCUAGAAUUAUCCUAACCUCAUCUCCUCCCACACCUGCAUCCCAUUUCCUUAACUUUCAGAUCUUACUCCAUUUAUUUAUUUAUUUAUUUUCUUUUUACAGCCAUACCUAUAGCAUAUGAAAUUUCCCAGGCUAGGGGUCUAAUCUGAAGCGUCAAGCCGAUACAACAGCCACAGCAAUACGGAAUCUGAGCCACACCUGCAAACUAUGUCACAGCUUGCAGCAAUGCGACAACUUUAACCUGCUGAGCAAGGCCAAGGAUGGAACCCAAAUCCUCAUGGACACUGUAUAGGGUUCUGAACCUGCUGAGCCACAUUGGAAACUCCAGAUCUUACCCCAUUUUAGGGUGCCUCAUUCCACUGAUAUUAUAUCAAGCCACUUCCUGAGGUACCACAUUUCCCUUAGUCAGUGUGAAGUAAUGGAAUUCAAACCAAAGUCUCAUUUUCUCACAGUAUAAACAGGGAAAAGCUUUUCUUCUUCAGUCCAUCAAACAUCAAAUUCUGAGGCAAAUUUUUUUGUCUUUAAAAAAAGUUUCUACUGUUUAAAAGAGGGACUUUGAUUGAUCAAUUGAUUCACCAGUCCCAAAUAGCAAUGACAUUUCUAAAGACUGUAAGGCAUCUUCAAAUACCAGGUUAUGGAUAUCUGUGGAGAUUCACAAGACCAGGAGAGCUGUCAUGCCACUGGCUCAAUUCCAUCUGCUUGCUGGUUUGCUAGUUAACAGUUAUGCAAUAUAUAUUUGCUCACUUUCCAUGCAAAGAUGGACACAUAAGAGUUUAACAUUUGAUGGGAAAGAAAUCCUUAAGACGUAGAUAAAUAUAAUUUAAAACAAACUUCUGUCCGAAAAGUAGCACUCUCAUCCUCUUUCAUUAACAAUA
Molecule: long non-coding RNA, 4625 nt
Filed under: Sus scrofa (pig)
Lineage: Eukaryota; Metazoa; Chordata; Mammalia; Artiodactyla; Suidae
Description: lncRNA (ENSSSCG00055007802.1, ENSSSCG00065039616.1)
Source: RNAcentral